This 888-nucleotide long non-coding RNA is filed under the name Macaca mulatta (Rhesus monkey). Its description in RNAcentral is "lncRNA (ENSMMUG00000054109.1)". The record is from RNAcentral. Lineage: Eukaryota; Metazoa; Chordata; Mammalia; Primates; Cercopithecidae.
AUUUAGGCAGCACCCUCUGGUUUAUAAUGUUAAAAUCAUAGCAUCACUAUGUAGGAAGAAAUGUAUUUUCUAAUCCAUUAUGGUUUUCAGGGAUGAAGAGAAUUACUAUUGUAUAACUGAAAAUAAUACCACACCAUUAAGAAUGUAAGUGAAACGGAAGUGUCUAAGGCACUGGAAUCUUUGUACAACUUAAUCUUUUAGAUAAAUUUGAAAUUUUUAAAUGCUUUAAAAUAGGGAUAAACUCUCCAAGAUUCUGAGUUUACAAAAAAAUUUCCAAGUGUUUUAAGUAAUUAAUUUUCUUAUAUAAAUACCAAGUAAGACAUAGAGGUACUUGUCAACAAACUGACUCUAGAUUUCUAUCAAUGAGCCUAAUAAUAUUACACUGAUAGUUUAGAUAUUAGGCUAAAAGACAUUAAUAAUAGAGAUUAAAGUAAAAGUUGUAUAUUUAAAUUAAUUCAGUUAAAUGUUAUUGAUACUCGUUUCCAUUAAUUCUGUUUUUGCAACCACUCAGACUUAGUUUCCAGGCAGAAAAAAGGUAGAAAAUGUUGUUGAAAUUCUUCACAUUGAUGUCAGGGCAAUGAUCUCAAAUGGCGCAGUGGGAACCAGCAAAUUUAAGAGAUUUCACAAAUCUGAGUUACCUGGGAAGAUCUAAAGGGAAGUAAUUCCAAACAGGAUUUCCAUUCCACAUGGAAAUGUGACAAGAAGAAUUAAAAGGAGCAAAAUGAGUGACUGGAAAUUAGGGCAGUGGUGUUUCAAGAGACUGCUGAGAAUAAAGUUAAAGCUGCACAGAGAUGAAUUAUUCUUCUAAAACGGGCCUCUGCGCAGAGUAUGUUAACACUUCCUAAUGAAUCUCACUGGUGAAAUUUUGAAAUGCAUAAAGAUACCAAC